RNAcentral lists this non-coding RNA (48 nucleotides) under Trichobilharzia regenti. The record is from RNAcentral. Lineage: Eukaryota; Metazoa; Platyhelminthes; Trematoda; Strigeidida; Schistosomatidae.
AUCCAACUGAAGAGUCUAAAACAGAACGAAAUGCGCCUUAUCCUGGAU